ACAAGUUCUAAUCAUUUGUUUUAGUUUAUUAAGCAUGUCGAGUUUGUUGCAGUCACGGUUUGAUUUGUCCAUGGCAAGAAAUCAUUGGGUUUGGAUUCAAUUUCUUCUUCUUUUUCGGCUUUGGUAGCUGAAAUCGCUGUUCUUCUCCAUGAUUGCCCUAAAUUUAGCUCGGUUUCUUAUGGUGUACUUUCCCUUUAUGUUGUUGUUGUUCUUCCCGAAUAUUGAAUAUUGAAUAUUGUAACCAGACUUUACAAACCAAACACAACAUUCUCUUGGGGAAUCAAAAUGUGGCAAUGAAUGUUUGGAUUCUCUUGCAAUCAUUAUUGUCUUCAAAAGGGGACCAAUUGGUUUCGAGUCGCUCUCCUUUUUUGGGUGUUGUCCCGAAGACCUCGGCCUCUGUCCAUGUCUUUUGCCGACAAUCUCUUUUGGACCAUUGUCUGAUGAAUUUUACAAUUCUCAUUCAAAUUUGAAUGAAAAUGACACAACUUUCUCUGACAGUUAAACGGGAGAAGUUUCAAACCCACCACCACUCACAUUGCUGGUGGAUCAAAAACUCUGAUCAUUCUUUACCAUUCCAACUGUUUGAUAUUUUGCCGCACCCAAUUCUUCACCACCAAUUCAAUCACAAAUCCCAUUAUUCCAUUAUUCCAUUAUUCAAAUUCAAGGACCAGAACUUGUCUACGUAUGAGAAUUGGGAAUCAUUGAAAACAAAUCUUUUUCUUUUCUUUUUUGGUUAAUGCUUUGAAUGGGAGUUGGAAUGUGACGUCUUUUUGUACAUCUGUCGUUGUGUCGUGGAGUUCUAACGAGUUUGAAUCGACCUGUUCAUGUCUCGCAUUUACGGUUCAAACUUGUGAUGAAUAAAGUGAAUAUCUUUUUGGAAAGAGAAUCUGUCUUCUUCAUGAAGUAUAUAGAGAGGGGGAAUGAUUAAAAGAGAUGUGGGGUUGAAUGUACUGAUGCAAACACUACAUUAUAUUUGCCUGUAGGGACUCCAAUUUCUGUUCCUUUCCACCUUUUUCUCCUUUUUUGAAUUAUUAAUUUCACUGUUUCUUACCCAAUCAAAAGCAUAAGAAUUAGAGAGAGAGGACAUUGAGGUUUCCAUAUGUGUGUGUGUAUAUAACACACACACACACACACACACACACACACACACACACAUAUGCGAACCUCGAAGCCCCUGUGGAUAUGUUCCAUAAAGAAGAGAGUUUUCAGUAGCUAUUUUCCCUUUGUGUAUUUAUUAGUAUCUUUGAACUGCCGGAAUACCUCUGCACAUAUAUUGAGGUAAAGCUGCCGGAAUGGAGACAUCCCAGCCUCUUUCUAUUGAUAGCUUUUCAUAUAGUUGGCUAGUGAAUAUAAAGCCAUCUCUAGAUAGCUCAGGCAACAACUCCUUUAGGACCUCUCUCGACGCUUCCGAUGAAGCCUCCUCCUUCAUCGAGAUGGACCCGAGAAUGCCACCGUCCAAGAGAUUUUUUAGGAAUUCUCAAGAUUUCAAAUUUGACUUCCCUGUCUCACCGCCUUCUCUCACUUUUGUACAUGCCGACCAGCUGAUUUCCAAUGGUUGCCUUGUGCCUUUUUUCAUUGACCCAGUGAAAGUUCAGAAAUACGAGGAUGAAGAUUUCAAUUCAAAUUUUCCAAAAUCUUCCCAUACAGAAAACAACACCCAUCCAGCCAAUACUUCUGACUGUUCGUCGAUGAGAAAGUGUCGGAAACUAUCGAAAAAAGUAUUGCAGAAGUAUUUUAGUUUUUUCAAGCCGUUGUACCAAAGAAUCCGAGGCCAUAGAGCAUCAAGCUCCAAACCAGAACAUGUUGGUAGAAGAUCCAAAUCUAUGAAGAAUUGGGAAUAUUCAUACGACGCAUCGCCACGAAUAAGUGUAGCUUACUCUGCCGAUGAUUGGCGAAGAUCCUGUGAUUCUGAGAGCUCAAUCUACGAGGCAGUCCUCCAUUGCAAGAAAUCUAUAGGAGGACGAGAUUGAGUAAUUUCAGACGAAAAAUCUGGAGGAAGGUGAAAGCAGAGAAGAUGAUAAAACAAAAGAGCAAUUGAAGACAGAGAAGCAUAGAAGAGAAAAAUGAGACAUGAAAUGAUAACAUCCACUAAGCUUUUUGUCCCUUUCGUCUACUUUUUUUCUUGGAUUCAAAUGUACCAUACCAUUUUGUCUGUGAUGAAAAUUUCAGACCUUACAGAGGAACAGGAAAGGUGACCAUAAAUUUUGUUUGUCCUCGACUGUUAUGUAAUAAAAAUCUUUUAACAAGGGAACGCUUGUUUCGGUAUGCCCGUGACCGAGAGAGCAGGUUCCUCGAGGUUCAGACUGAUAUGAAUAUAUUUGCCCUUUCUUGACAGUGAACUGAUCUAAAAGACUUGGUAGCUAUUGAAUGAGGUUAUAGGGAAAUUGUGGUGGUGGGGUCCCCUAAGUUGCUUUUGUUAAGCAAAGGAAUCCUUAUCAAUGUUGUCCUCUUUUCAUUUGCACAUGAAACCACUCCCAACUUGCUUUUUCAUUACAUGUUCUUUGUUCACAAUAAUUGUUGGGUUUUG
This is a non-coding RNA of Cucurbita pepo subsp. pepo (vegetable marrow), 2527 nucleotides long. NCBI's taxonomy places the organism in Eukaryota, Viridiplantae, Streptophyta, Magnoliopsida, Cucurbitales, Cucurbitaceae. The record is from RefSeq and is a predicted model, not a curated record.